AUUUUUUAUUUCCAAAUAAUUGAAUGGGGAAGAUCUAGUAUCGUUUUUAUGAUGAAUGAAACAUGAUAUGGUAUUAGUGUUUAUGAAAUAUUAUAUUGAGACUGAUUUAUACAUGGGGCAUCACUUAUGAAGUGUAGAACACUAGAUGGAAUUUGUUUGUUUGAAGGCCUCUGUUUGCUUGGCUACUCAUCUUCCCCCUCUUUUACUUAUGAUGUCAUAUGGCUGUUACACACUUAUACUAUACCAACUGUCCAAUAUGAUGUCAUAUACUUGUUCUUAGAAUUUUGUGUCGGUCUCUUGUGCAUAAACUAAUAUGUCCACGUAGCAUAGAAAUUAGCCCUUGGUAUGAUGGUGAUUUAAAGUGUUAUAGAACAAUAGUUGAAUGAAAUUUUUAUAUACAUCGCUUUUCCACAGUUUCUAGUAUUGCAAUAUUGCUGCAGUCUUUAGUCUAUUGUACAACUUCUUCUCUAUCUGCACUAAAAGGGAAAGUCAAACAAUCUUCUAGGGUUCAGGGAAAUAAUAUAUAGACAUAUUAAAAGUGUUCUUCAUUUCUUGUUUCUCCCUUGACUCAUGAUGCCCUGCAAUUCAAAGAACAGUUGGAUCCUCAAAUUCUUGAAUUUUGUUACAUACACAAGCCAAAGGGAUGAUCUUUCCUAGUUGCAUACCCAAGUCCCACUACAAACAAUUGGAACCCCUAAAAGAAGAUAUUAAUUUUCCUUCAAUGCCUAGAGUGUAUUUCUUGUUUAUUGGAUUGGUCCAUGUGUAUUGCAUUGAAUCCAACCAGAUUAUCUAGUUAAUUAUAUAACAUUGGACGUGGAUUAGUUGACUUGUCUAGUUUAGGUCUCUAGUGAAUAAAUACACUUUGAAGCAAGUCCAAAGUAUGUUUUUUUUCCCUUGGUGUAUUUCCCGCAGGGUUGUCAUUCCUGCUUAGAUCAUUAUAUUAAUUACAUUUACAAGUCAUUCAUACAUACGAAGAACUCAACCGGUAAAUUUUGUCCUACUCAUUAUGCAUAUAAAUUGGGCUUCUAUAUAUUGGUUUUUUUAUUCUUCCUUAAAGGGUGAUGGAUGGAGUAAUUACAACUUUGCAAUAUGUAGGAAUUUUCUUUGGUUUGGAAAUUUAGUUUGUUUUAGGUAUCAUGGUUAUAAAAGUAAGAAACAGGGAGAUUUAGGCGUUCAUGGUAUCUACCUUUCGAACAUUGCUGCAAGUGGUAAGCAUAUCUAUAAUAUUGCCCAAAAGCAAGACAACUUAUGAAUGAAAUGGGCUGAUCACAACCAUGCAAUAUAAAAAACAAGGAUGGGAAGUUAGUUUUUAUUUGAAUCUUGUGCUUUCCCAUAAAUCCUCCUUUUUUGGCCUCACAAAGUACCUGAUUUGCCAACUCUCGGCACUUCCAAGCAAGUCUACAUCUCUUCUCUUGCUCUUCUCAAGAUGUUUAAACAAGGAAGAGAAAGAGUUCCAAUGAAGGUGAUGGGGUUGCUGUUGGGGGAGUUUGUGGAUGAGUACGCUGUCAUGGUUGUUGAUGUUUUCUCUAUGCUGCAAAGUGGGACUGGUGUUAGUGUUUGAAGUUGUUGACCAUGUUUUUCAGACUAAGAUCUUUGAUAUGCUCAAGCAAACUAGAAGGUAUUGUGAUUUCUUGUGCUUUUUGUUUGUUAUAAACUGUUAUGGAUGCGAUGAAGUUUGCGAUUUGAGUACAAAAGAAGUUGGCUAUGUUAGGGUUUUUCGUCAGAGUUGUGUGAUUUUUUGUGGAUUUUGGUGGAGAAAUCUGUUGGAUGUAUGCUUCUUUGAUUUCACUUGAAGUGGUGAACACUGGUAUCUUCUAGGUCAUCAAAGUUGGGGACUUUGAUGAGGGGGAAAUAUUGUAAGGUUCCAAAAUAUAUCCCAUCUUAAUUGCAACAAGCCAACAAUUCCUUUUUUAUUGGAAACAGUUGUCCUAAAUUUAAUCGAAUUUAGGGGUAUAUUAAUGUUUGAAAUUGCGUGUUUGAUUAACUCAGGGGCCACUCUUGAUUUUACCUUGUGUGCCAUAAUAGGUGAAGUAAAUUGUAUUGCCAUGUUCUUGGAAAUUAAAUAGCAUCGCAGCAGGAAGUUAUAGAAUAACAGUAUUCAUAUUAUAAUUUCAUCUCAACUGAAUGAGACUAGCUUUGUUUUAAGCUUAUAUUUCAAUUUAAACUGUUGUAUGGAAGAACAUUUGGGAUGUAAUCUUUUAUUGAAAGUAUGAGUUUUUCUGAAGGAAGCUUUGAUAUGCCUCAGAGUAUUGUUACAGUUCCCGUCUUUUUGAUUAAUUAUGUUCAGUAACCAACAACUAUUUUCAUCUUUAGCAUAGCUGAUCCUGAAGCUUGGACUUUUCAGCUCACCCUUCUAACGUAACCGCUGUAGAAGCUACAAGAGCGGCUUUGUAUGUCAUGAUCUCUGUGAAGAUGAUCUCAUACUUUUGGCUUGCGGAGAUAAAUAUGUUCUCACAAGGGUUCUUAGCUCAUUGAAGAAGUUACUCUUUUGUUUGCAAUAACUUGGAAAGAACAAAAGUUGUGAUGCUAUAGGACUUACUGGCAUUUUAGCCAAGUUUUAAAAUUCUGAAUUUUGGGAACAAGGUAAAAGGAAAAAGAAGGGAAAGGACGGAAAAAGGAAUGGGAAGGGGAACUGAAGCUCCAUUUUCCUUCCAAAUCUCUCCGAUUUUGGAGGGAAAUUUGAUAUCUUCCUCUUCCUGCCCAUCCUUUCCCAAAUCCUUUAUCCAAACAUGGGAUUAUUGUUCCUGUUCUUUUCCCUUCCUGUCCAUUCUUUAAUUUUCAUCUUUUUCUUAAAAACAAAGUAUUAGGGAAAUGAUGAUGUCUAUUUUAGAUCUGUGUGCUAAUAAUAAAUUCAGUUAUAUUAUAAACUAUCAUAAUUUGGAAUAACUGCUUGCAAUAAUUGGGGAUUAGUUGGGGUGAGGAUUGAGAUGGUAGUGAGGAAGAAGGUAUAACAAAGGCAUUAUUUGUAACAGUUGUAGGGGUAGGGUUUUGUUUCGUUUUUGUUUGUUUGUUUGUUUUUUUUUUUUUUUUUUUUUUUUUUUUUUUUUUGUGUGUGUGUGUGUGUGUGUGUGUGUUUGUCUGUUUGUGUGUGAAAGAAUUGCAGGGGUAAUUUAUUUGUCCUUAAAAGGAAGAAAGGGAGCUUGGCGGCUGGGUUAAAUUGUGGUAUCAGUCUAUCAGAUUACUUAUCCCAGAAUUGUUCAGGCUUUACUAUCAAAUUUCUAUUUGCUUAUUGUAACCUAAAUUGCUACAUCUUCUCUCUUAUAGAAAAAUCUCUUACAAUUAUUCCUAAAAUGGAAAUUAGCUCUUAUAUAAAGUUUGCAAGAUUGAGCAAACUAAGAGUGAGGGGUGUUAGGUUUCAAAAAAAAAAAAAAAAAAAAGCAUAUUGUAAGAACAUUGUACAUCUAUCUUUAGAUUCUUCUGAGUCAUGUUAGUUUUACUUUGAUUUGAAUUAUGAUUGUAUGUAGUUUUAAAUGCCUUUUGGCAAGUCAUUGUUAUACAGGGCCAAAAAAACAGCAUAGAAGCUCUGAGAGUUCCGUAUAUAAUCUUGAGGCAGCAUGCUGCUAAACAAAAAGGGGUUGUUUGCUUGUUGUCAGCCGUUCUUCCAUAGUGAUCCAACAAGCUUUGUUGAUGUUGGAGGUGGUGUUUUUAGGUUUGAUGAUGUAUGAUAUCCUAUUACAUCCUGUCAAACGAACAGGACAUACAAUAUAACACAGAGCAGUUUUUUAGGAAAGUUGUGAGUUUACUUGUGUAGAUGGAUGUAUUAUAGCUAAUUUUUAGUAGUCUUUUAGCUGUUACUUUUAGUUGAAUUUCACAAAUGGAGUCAGUCUUUUUAUUAUUCUCACAAACCUUUCUUUGCUGCAGGUUUUCCUUGAAGAUUCAAAGCAUACAUAAUGGUGGAUCAAGCUUCUUAAUUGCAUUAUGCUGGUGAGAUUUUUACCAAAAUAUUUUGCAGUGUGUUUGGAUAAAUGGAAAUGCAAGGAAAAAGAGGGAAGGGAGAGCGAUCGAUGCAAUUUCUUUUGUUCGGAUAAAAAUAUGGAGGUGAGGGAAAUGAAUGGAAGGGAUUAGGAGGGAUUUAUGUAACAAAUCUUUUCAAAAUUGGACAGAUUUGGAAGGAUAUUGGUAAUAAUAAUCAAUGACAUUGAAGACCAAAUGUCAGAUUAUAACUCCGACCACCUCUGUCAUUAGCACCAUCACAUCGCAGCCCCGUUAUUGCCUAUGCUGCCACCGUUAUUUUCCAGAAUCCAUACAAAGUCAACAUAAUUCUAGCUGGUUUUGACCAAGAUACUGGACCAUCACUAUACUUUAUUGACUACAUAGCAACUCUUCACAAGGUAGAUAAGGCAGCAUUCGGCUAUGGUUCCUACUUUGCUCUCUCCAUGAUGGACAGGCAUUACCGUAGUGAUAUGUCCGUUGAUGAGGCCAUCAAACUAGUUGAUGAUUGCAUAGUGGAGAUCAGGACUAGGCUGGUUGUAGCUCCACCUAAUUUUGUGAUCAAAAUUGUUGAUAAGGAUGGAGCUUGUGAAUUUGCCUGGCGCGAAUCCAUUAAGGAUCAGGUUGUUGCAGAUGCAAAUGCAAAUGCUGCUGCUAUUUCUGCUUCUGCCUGAGGGUAUGUAGUUGUUCAAUAGUGAAAAAUGUGUCUUUUAUACUUUCAGAAGGUGGUAGCUGUAAUGUAACAGGAUGAUUUACCAUGUUUAAAACUGUAUGCCCUUACUUUGGAGUUGUCAUCUUGAGAUUUUACCCCACUGUUAUCAUUAAUGCUGAAAUGGUUAUCAAAUUGA
Long non-coding RNA from Chenopodium quinoa (quinoa), 4778 nucleotides. RefSeq lists it as uncharacterized. The record is from RefSeq and is a predicted model, not a curated record. NCBI's taxonomy places the organism in Eukaryota, Viridiplantae, Streptophyta, Magnoliopsida, Caryophyllales, Amaranthaceae. The transcript is spliced from 4 exons.